This 383-nucleotide ribosomal RNA is filed under the name uncultured eukaryote. RNAcentral's name for it is "partial 18S ribosomal RNA". It matches the Rfam family "Eukaryotic small subunit ribosomal RNA", at positions 592 to 976 of the family's 1831-position model. The record is from RNAcentral.
CAAUAGCGUAUAUUAAAGUUGUUGCAGUUAAAAAGCUCGUAGUUGGAUUUCUGGUGGGAGCGAUCGGUCUGGCGCUUAGCGCGAGUACUUGCAUCGUCUCCGGCCAUCCUUGGGGAGAGUCUGUCUGGCAUUAGGUUGUCGGGCAGAGGAUCCUCAUCGUUUACUGUGAAAAAAUUAGAGUGUUCAGAGCAGGCUUAUGCCGUUGAAUAUAUUAGCAUGGAAUAAUAAGAUAGGACUUUGGUACUAUUUUGUUGGUUUGCGCACCAAAGUAAUGAUUAAUAGGGACAGUUGGGGGUAUUCGUAUUCCGUUGUCAGAGGUGAAAUUCUUGGAUUUACGGAAGACGAACUACUGCGAAAGCAUUUACCAAGGAUGUUUUCAUUAA